UCCCAUACAGUUUAGAGGGUUUUUUUCC
Molecule: non-coding RNA, 28 nt
Filed under: Mus musculus (house mouse)
Lineage: Eukaryota; Metazoa; Chordata; Mammalia; Rodentia; Muridae
Source: RNAcentral